RNAcentral lists this ribosomal RNA (250 nucleotides) under uncultured bacterium. RNAcentral describes it as "partial 16S ribosomal RNA". It matches the Rfam family "Bacterial small subunit ribosomal RNA", at positions 1252 to 1500 of the family's 1533-position model. The record is from RNAcentral.
ACCUGGCGACAGGGAGCGGAACCCGAAAGCCUGUCUCAGUUCGGACUGUAGGCUGCAACUCGCCUACACGAAGCUGGAAUCGCUAGUAAUCGCGGAUCAGCACGCCGCGGUGAAUACGUUCCCGGGCCUUGUACACACCGCCCGUCACACCAUGAGAGUCUGUAACACCCAAAGCCGGUGGGAUAACCUUUAUAGGAGUCAGCCGUCUAAGGUAGGACAGAUGAUUAGGGUGAAGUCGUAACAAGGUAUC